UUGCAGUAUGUAGGAAAUCAAAACGUUC
This 28-nucleotide non-coding RNA is filed under the name Bombyx mori (domestic silkworm). The record is from RNAcentral. Lineage: Eukaryota; Metazoa; Arthropoda; Insecta; Lepidoptera; Bombycidae.